CCGAUCGACUGAAACUAUCCAACAGGAUGUUUAAGUACUAUCCUUUGUCAUUAGUCGUGAUUCCGACAGGAUGUUUGAGUGCCGCCCGAAUUCGUGCUAUACUCUGGCAUUCGUUGUGAAUCCGAUGGAUGUUUAAGUGAUUACACUUUGUUAUUCGUCGUGAGGGUUUUAAUCUCGUGAGUUUAUCGUAAAUGCUGUAUUAGUUAUUUACCUAGUUUUCGUAUGCAUUAUAGUUUAAAUUAGGUUAUCAGGCUUAUUAGUAGACUAAACUCUACCCAUACACUUACAAUCAAAGUAGAUGCUAAUUCUCAGAAGAAAUUGAAUCAGGAAGCUUGUUAAUUCAAUAUUGCAUGCUUAUAAUGGAUUAAGUCUUUGUAAUCACCAUAUUACAGCCGGUAUGUGGGGUUUUGUAUACAUUACUUGAUAAUCUUCACCAUUGGGGCAGCCAAUGGGUGAUAUGACCAUAAUCACAGACACCAUUGGACAAUGAGAGGGCCAAUGGGUCGAGUGACAAAGUACCGUGGGUGGUUGGUUUGAUAUCAGAAACAUUGUAAUCGCUCUUAAUACUGUAAAUUAUAACAAAUGUGUCGUUUUCAGUAAAAUGAAUGAUUCAUUCAGUAUUUCCCCGCUGACAAAACCUUUUUAAAACGCGUUUCAGGUAAUUACAGUAGAUUAGAGUAAGAAUUGGAUCCGGCACUGAAGGACUUCAAGAAGUGGCUUAUUUAUUUUGAUUAAAUCAACUUAAGAAAUAUUGUUUUUGGGUUUAUCCCCUAUUAAAAGCUACCUUUGUAAAACAUGGAAUUUAUUCCAUCUAUUUAAAUAAAUCCGGUGU
RNAcentral lists this long non-coding RNA (832 nucleotides) under Helianthus annuus (common sunflower). RNAcentral describes it as "hypothetical non coding rna". Lineage: Eukaryota; Viridiplantae; Streptophyta; Magnoliopsida; Asterales; Asteraceae. The record is from RNAcentral.